UACGUAGGUGGCAAGCGUUGUCCGGAUUUAUUGGGCGUAAAGCGCGCGCAGGCGGUCUCUUAAGUCUGAUGUGAAAGCCCACGGCUCAACCGUGGAGGGUCAUUGGAAACUGGGGGACUUGAGUACAGAAGAGGAAAGCGGAAUUCCACGUGUAGCGGUGAAAUGCGUAGAGAUGUGGAGGAACACCAGUGGCGAAGGCGGCUUUCUGGUCUGUAACUGACGCUGAGGCGCGAAAGCGUGGGGAGCAAACAGG
Molecule: ribosomal RNA, 253 nt
Filed under: uncultured bacterium
Lineage: Bacteria
Description: partial 16S ribosomal RNA
Rfam family: Bacterial small subunit ribosomal RNA
Source: RNAcentral